Molecule: ribosomal RNA, 301 nt
Filed under: uncultured bacterium
Lineage: Bacteria
Description: partial 16S ribosomal RNA
Rfam family: Bacterial small subunit ribosomal RNA
Source: RNAcentral
CAGCAGCCGCGGUAAUACAGAGGGUGCGAGCGUUAAUCGGAUUUACUGAGCGUAAAGCGUGCGUAGGCGGCUUUUUAAGUCGGAUGUGAAAUCCCUGAGCUUAACUUAGGAAUUGCAUUCGAUACUGGGAAGCUAGAGUAUGGGAGAGGAUGGUAGAAUUCCAGGUGUAGCGGUGAAAUGCGUAGAGAUCUGGAGGAAUACCGAUGGCGAAGGCAGCCAUCUGGCCUAAUACUGACGCUGAGGUACGAAAGCAUGGGGAGCAAACAGGAUUAGAUACCCCGGUAGUCCCUGUCUCUUAUAC